AUGACACAGCUUAAAACCAGGAACAUCAAGUAAAAUAACUACUGCUGAGAGGGAAUAAAAGUUGGCAGUAAGAUGGGUUUCUGCCUGAAACCAGAGGUGUGGUGCAAAUCCUCGGUUGCUGUGACCUGCUUUACCCCUGCUGGAAAAGAAGCCACAGAUACAUGAGUGCCCUGAAGACCUUCUAUCUAACCUGUCAGUCAAAUGAAUCAGUGAGUCAUUGUGUCAGAAAUACAGAGUCUUGCAUGCUGUACUCUGUGGUGAGUCCAUGAUUUUCCUGAUUACUGCACACAAACAACACUUCUUCGUAGCUGUGUGUUGCUGAUGAAUGAAUGCAAAAUAAGAUGAGUGAAAAAACUUCUGCUUCAGCUUUUGUGAUUGCUGUUAGGAAGAUGUUGAUUCAAUUCCUUUUCUUUGCCUCAUGCUCC
Molecule: non-coding RNA, 425 nt
Organism: Meleagris gallopavo (turkey)
Lineage: Eukaryota; Metazoa; Chordata; Aves; Galliformes; Phasianidae
Source: RefSeq, a predicted model, not a curated record